Molecule: ribosomal RNA, 490 nt
Filed under: uncultured bacterium
Lineage: Bacteria
Description: partial 16S ribosomal RNA
Rfam family: Bacterial small subunit ribosomal RNA
Source: RNAcentral
AUUGAACGCUGGCGGCAGGCCUAACACAUGCAAGUCGAACGGUAACAGGAAGAAGCUUGCUUCUUUGCUGACGAGUGGCGGACGGGUGAGUAAUGUCUGUGAAACUCCCUGAUGGCGGGGGAUAACUACUGGAAACGGUAGCUAAUACCGCAUAACGUCUCAAGACCAAAGAGGGGGACUUUCGGGCCUCUUUCCAUCGGCUUUUCCCAGAUGGGAUUCGCUAGUAGGUGGGGUAAAGGCUUACCUAGGCGACGGUCCCUAGCUGGUCUGAGAGGGUGACCAGCCACACUGGAACUGAGACACGGUCCAGACUCCUACGGGAGGCAGCAGUGGGGAAUAUUGCACAAUGGGCGAAAGCCUGAUGGAGCCAUGCCGCGUGUAUGAAGAAGGCCUUCGGGUUGUAAAGUACUUUCAGCGGGGAGGAAGGAAGUAAAGUUAAUACCUUUGCUCAUUGACGUUACCCGAAGAAGAAGCAACGGCUAACUCCGUG